AUAUCAGUACGAGUACUCUGUUUUUCAGACGGAAAAACAGCAGGGUCCGUCUUGCCGUAUUCAAAAUUACUCUUAAACGAUUGCGAAUUUGAGAAAAUGUUUAACGUGACUAAGUUUCGCAUUUCCGGUAGCUUUUUAAUGGUAUAUUAUUUGCACCAUUUCAAUAAACUUUUUAACAAAAUCACGUUCAAAACCAACUUUAACCGUAUUUGAGUUCGUAUUUAAACCGUAAGAAAUUAGAAAAAACUUUCUAUACACAAAAGUUGCGCAUUUUCCAUAGCUUUCCAAAGCCGUAUCGUGUGCGUCAAUCCGACAAAACGUUUGCAAAAAACAGCAAAAAUAUUUUUCGCCCAGAAUUUCACCAUUUUUCAAAUUACUUUUAAAUCAUAUAGAAUUUGGAAAAAUAGUAGAUAUACGGAAGAUGCGGAUUUUCACAAGCUUUCCAACGCCGUCUCAUUUGCUCAAUUUCGACAAACCGUUCGAAAAUUAAGUCCAAAAUACGAUUUGCGUUUUCGGUUUUGAAAAAAACGGUUUUUUCAAGUGCUCUUAAACCAUAAUUUUUUUGCAAAAACAAAUUAUAAAAUUGUAAUGUAGAUGUCAAGUGCUUUCCAACGAUAUAUUACACACCCCGUUUCGACAAAAAAAUUGCAAAAAGAAUUGAACUAAAGAAGAUGAUUUUUAACAGAAAUAGAAAGCAUUAGUUGAAGCGCUCAAAUUUCAUCAGUUCAGCCGCUUGAAUUCAUCAGUUCAUGAAGUGUAACAGAAUAAUAUUCUGUUACAUUUAACAGAAUAGCCCAGAUGUAUAUAUAAAACCCAGGGUGAAGAAUAAGCUAUCGUUCACCCCGGUCGAACGACCCAGCCAGCCCGCAACUUUUCCAUCACAGCCGCCCGCACCGCGCUCUCCAGCCCAGGUAAUUUAUUCCCUACCAACUGUUUUUUUCCGAUGGGCUUUAGCAAUUUAGGAGCGGACCCCACUCCCCGCAAUUUCUGAAACUAGUGGGAGCGGAAGCGGCGAGCGGUUCGGCGGCGGUAGGUUUCGGCGGCGUGCCGACGGCAGCUGCGGGUGGAUUUGGGUGUGUGCGACUCUGGGGGUAGCCCCCUUUGGCUGGUUGCAGCGUCAAGGCGAGCAGCGUUUCGAGAGGCCUCGUCGGCCGGCGGCUGUGCCACGACCCGCCUCCACCCUCCGUUUCGUCGUUGCGCCGGCGAUGGCCCGGCCUGCUUUUCCAUUCCCCGCCCCCGAGCUCCUGCCAUAUCCUGUCAUCAUCACACCAGCGCCGGAACCCAUCCCUUCAUCCUUUUUGGUUGCGCACAGCAGCAGGAGGUCUCUGCGACGGACACGGCCCCCUUCCUACGACCAACGAAAGCAGACCUCGCGUAACAUGCGCCGUGCACGGUUGCAGUAGCAACAUCUAUUCCACGCCCCUACUUCAACCGGCUGGACGAGGCUCCAUGGCCUUCGUGUCCUAGUUUCUACUCUUUGGACAGGGUGUUACUAUGGCAGAGAAAAGGAGAGCUGAGAUCAAGGUGCCAUUUUGAAGCGAUACAAACCUUGCAUGUAUGCACAAUUUCAGGUCACAAUACUUUGAUAGUGAGGUAAAGCUACCUAUCGCCAACCUUUUGUGUUCAGAUCUGAGAGAAAUAACCAAGAGAAAGGAAGAAGGUAAGGUAUGUGCCCACUAAACUCCUAAGGAGGUAGGGCUGUUGUUUGGAGCAUUAGGCCACAGAAGCAAUGUCCAUAUUUAUGCUACUUGUAGCGAGGCGAAGAAGACACUUUACAAGCCCUCAGAGCGCUCUUUCCAUAUUUCCAUAUAAAAGGAUCAUUGUCAAGCAAAGAUGAGUUGACUGAAUUUUUGGCACAUUCAUUCUGACGACUUCGAUUGAUAUGAUUAUCUGCGAUGGAAUUGAUUAUGACAAUAAUGGCAACAUGGUCAGAAUACUUGCUGUUGUUGGACCAAGGGGAUGCUCUGAUGCUUCUGUUGUUUCGUUGCACAUCCUUGUUAGCUAUAUCUCUUAGUUUAUUGUGAAUUGCGACACUACUUUUCUCAUGAGAUAUAUUGGUCACAAUAAAAUGUUAAACAACUCUACACCUUAUUUAUAAAUUCUCAUCGCAGGUGCGAGUAGUCCAGAAAGGACCUAUUUGAGAUUGCUUGGAAGUCAUGCCAGAAAGAGACGAAUUCUAUGCCAAUCCUACUGUGUGUAUAUCUGAAACGACCAAAGAUGACCCCUCUGCUGCAGGAGCGAAGAAUUCCGAAGAUGAUCCCACUAGGACAGAAGAGGUGAUUGAUAUUGGGGCUGGCGAUGAUUCUUUUGUCAGAUGGAAGGAUUCUGAGCUAGAGGAGAUCCUGAUUAGUUGAGUUAUUUUGCAGCUCAAAGAAAUUAGCUAAGUUAUUUGCAUACCAGUGGUGUAUGUGGUAUACUAAAAAUUCAGAGAAUUUCCGAUUUUAUUUGGACGGAUUUUGGUGUAUGCAAGAACUUUACUUCUUAAUAUAGCGUACUGCAUAUUUUGGCCU
This is a long non-coding RNA of Aegilops tauschii subsp. strangulata, 2510 nucleotides long. RefSeq lists it as uncharacterized. The record is from RefSeq and is a predicted model, not a curated record. Lineage: Eukaryota; Viridiplantae; Streptophyta; Magnoliopsida; Poales; Poaceae.